RNAcentral lists this small RNA (544 nucleotides) under Pan troglodytes (chimpanzee). RNAcentral describes it as "processed transcript". Lineage: Eukaryota; Metazoa; Chordata; Mammalia; Primates; Hominidae. The record is from RNAcentral.
GACUUCUCUAGUCUCUGCCCCACAGACAGGUAUAAAAUGUUAUAAGAGCUCUAUUGGAAUAUCUGCCACAGAGAAGGCAGAACAGUUGAAAAGAGCAGGCAAAAGAAUCCUCGAAGCUUAUGUAUCCAGACACAGACGGCUCCCGAUGCGCUGCCCCCUGAGAAAACACUUGAAUUGACGCAAUAUAAAACAAAAUGUGAAAACCAAAGUGGAUUUAUCCUGCAGCUCAAGCAGCUUCUUGCCUGUGGUAAUACCAAGUUUGAGGCAUUGACAGUUGUGAUUCAGCACCUGCUGUCUGAGCGGGAGGAAGCACUGAAACAACACAAAACCCUAUCUCAAGAACUUGUUAACCUCCGGGGAGAGCUAGCUUGACCUUCAGUUCACAGAAUUCCUGGCACUGAUCUGACUAAGCCUAGCAGAACUUCUGAUGAGCAAAACAUUUCUCGCUGAAGAGAGGGACAGAGUUAUUUUUGUAAUUGUGUGAAUUCCUGUUAAAUAAUGUUGUCAUUUUUUUUUCUGAAGCACUUUUCAUAUGAGAAUAGUG